RNAcentral lists this ribosomal RNA (393 nucleotides) under uncultured bacterium. RNAcentral's name for it is "partial 16S ribosomal RNA". It matches the Rfam family "Bacterial small subunit ribosomal RNA", at positions 523 to 918 of the family's 1533-position model. The record is from RNAcentral.
AUACGGAGGAUCCAAGCGUUAUCCGGAUUUAUUGGGUUUAAAGGGUGCGCAGGCGGAAGAUUAAGUCGGCGGUGAAAUUUUGCAGCUCAACUGUAAAAGUGCCAUCGAUACUGGUUUUCUUGAGUGUGGAUGAAGUAGGCGGAAUUUGUGGUGUAGCGGUGAAAUGCAUAGAUAUCACGAGGAACUCCGAUUGCGCAGGCAGCUUACUAAACUACUACUGACGCUCAGGCACGACGGCGUGGGGAUCAAACAGGAUUAGAUACCCUGGUAGUCCUCGCAGUAAACGAUGAUUACUAGCUGUUUGCGAUACAAUGUAAGCGGCUGAGCGACAGCGUUAAGUAAUCCACCUGGGGAGUACGUUCGCAAGAAUGAAACUCAAAGUAAUUGAAGGGG